AGGCGAACCGGGGGAACUGAAACAUCUAAGUACCCCGAGGAAAAGAAAUCAACCGAGAUUCCCCCAGUAGCGGCGAGCGAACGGGGAGGAGCCCAGAGCCUGAAUCAGUGUGUGUGUUAGUGGAAGCGUCUGGAAAGGCGCGCGAUACAGGGUGACAGCCCCGUACACAAAAAUGCACAUAUUGUGAGCUCGAUGAGUAGGGCGGGACACGUGGUAUCCUGUCUGAAUAUGGGGGGACCAUCCUCCAAGGCUAAAUACUCCUGACUGACCGAUAGUGAACCAGUACCGUGAGGGAAAGGCGAAAAGAACCCCGGCGAGGGGAGUGAAAAAGAACCUGAAACCGUGUACGUACAAGCAGUGGGAGCCUCUUUAUGGGGUGACUGCGUACCUUUUGUAUAAUGGGUCAGCGACUUAUAUUCUGUAGCAAGGUUAACCGAAUAGGGGAGCCGAAGGGAAACCGAGUCUUAACUGGGCGUUAAGUUGCAGGGUAUAGACCCGAAACCCGGUGAUCUAGCCAUGGGCAGGUUGAAGGUUGGGUAACACUAACUGGAGGACCGAACCGACUAAUGUUGAAAAAUUAGCGGAUGACUUGUGGCUGGGGGUGAAAGGCCAAUCAAACCGGGAGAUAGCUGGUUCUCCCCGAAAGCUAUUUAGGUAGCGCCUCGUGAAUUCAUCUCCGGGGGUAGAGCACUGUUUCGGCAAGGGGGUCAUCCCGACUUACCAACCCGAUGCAAACUGCGAAUACCGGAGAAUGUUAUCACGGGAGACACACGGCGGGUGCUAACGUCCGUCGUGAAGAGGGAAACAACCCAGACCGCCAGCUAAGGUCCCAAAGUCAUGGUUAAGUGGGAAACGAUGUGGGAAGGCCCAGACAGCCAGGAUGUUGGCUUAGAAGCAGCCAUCAUUUAAAGAAAGCGUAAUAGCUCACUGGUCGAGUCGGCCUGCGCGGAAGAUGUAACGGGGCUAAACCAUGCACCGAAGCUGCGGCAGCGACACUAUGUGUUGUUGGGUAGGGGAGCGUUCUGUAAGCCUGUGAAGGUGGCCUGUGAGGGUUGCUGGAGGUAUCAGAAGUGCGAAUGCUGACAUAAGUAACGAUAAAGCGGGUGAAAAGCCCGCUCGCCGGAAGACCAAGGGUUCCUGUCCAACGUUAAUCGGGGCAGGGUGAGUCGACCCCUAAGGCGAGGCCGAAAGGCGUAGUCGAUGGGAAACAGGUUAAUAUUCCUGUACUUGGUGUUACUGCGAAGGGGGGACGGAGAAGGCUAUGUUGGCCGGGCGACGGUUGUCCCGGUUUAAGCGUGUAGGCUGGUUUUCCAGGCAAAUCCGGAAAACCAAGGCUGAGGCGUGAUGACGAGGCACUACGGUGCUGAAGCGACAAAUGCCCUGCUUCCAGGAAAAGCCUCUAAGCAUCAGGUAACAUCAAAUCGUACCCCAAACCGACACAGGUGGUCAGGUAGAGAAUACCAAGGCGCUUGAGAGAACUCGGGUGAAGGAACUAGGCAAAAUGGUGCCGUAACUUCGGGAGAAGGCACGCUGAUAUGUAGGUGAAGCGACUUGCUCGUGGAGCUGAAAUCAGUCGAAGAUACCAGCUGGCUGCAACUGUUUAUUAAAAACACAGCACUGUGCAAACACGAAAGUGGACGUAUACGGUGUGACGCCUGCCCGGUGCCGGAAGGUUAAUUGAUGGGGUUAGCGGUAACGCGAAGCUCUUGAUCGAAGCCCCGGUAAACGGCGGCCGUAACUAUAACGGUCCUAAGGUAGCGAAAUUCCUUGUCGGGU
Molecule: ribosomal RNA, 1776 nt
Filed under: metagenome
Description: bacterial LSU rRNA
Rfam family: Bacterial large subunit ribosomal RNA
Source: RNAcentral